RNAcentral lists this long non-coding RNA (578 nucleotides) under Corvus moneduloides (New Caledonian crow). Its description in RNAcentral is "lncRNA (ENSCMUG00000019160.1)". Lineage: Eukaryota; Metazoa; Chordata; Aves; Passeriformes; Corvidae. The record is from RNAcentral.
GAUUCCGACCGCGCCCGCCCGGUGCUCCCCGCCCGGGUCGCGCUGCGACCGCGCCUCUGCUGCCCGGCAAAACCGGCCCCGCCGGGCCGCCCCCCGCCCUGUCAUUCCUCGCGGUCGCCGCCCCGCACGGCGCCCACUCCUCUUCACCGCUCUGGCCCCGCUCACGCACGGCCGUGUCCCUUGGCGCUCCGAACCGCCCUUCGCCCCUCCCCUCCGCUGACAGACCCAGCCCCGCUCGCUCCCGCUCCUUGCCCUUGCCACGCUCGGCAGCCACCGAGGCCGCCGCCCUCUCGCCUCAGCCGGCACCGGGCGGCAGCAGCGCCGCCCAGCUCAGCCCGGGGGCAGGGACAGAGCAGAGGGAAAAGCCGGGGCAGUUCUGUCACAAGAAGCAACAGUGCACGCCCAGAAAAAUAGCUCAAGGCAAGGUCACCUUUCAUACUGAAGCAUUCCGUGAAUAUGACCAGCAGAGACCCCUCUUAAUGAAUCUGCAGGACCAUCAAAAGACUUCCAGGAGGAGUGGAGGCAGCUGUAGUAAAACAGAAGGCAUCUACAGAGCCCUUUACUCACCUGGAAUUUAA